Long non-coding RNA from Danio rerio (zebrafish), 2646 nucleotides. Lineage: Eukaryota; Metazoa; Chordata; Actinopteri; Cypriniformes; Danionidae. The record is from Ensembl.
AUGCUUGCCCACAAGAGUCCCUCCAACCCUCGGCACAUCGAGAAUGGUCUGAGCAGCAAAUCUCCCAGGACUCCCUCUGGGCUUAAAAGCGUAGCAAGUAUUCGGGACAAGAUUUCCCAAUGGGAAGGUAAAACUGAGACCAUCGGCUCAAACACCCAAACAGUGGCACUGAAGGACGCUGAAGCUGGGAAGAAAACAGGACAGCCUGAAGUACAAAGGAAAGACAGCAAGAGACUUUUCAACUGGGAGAGACAAAACUGCGGCAAAGAGAAUGGGAGGAAAAUGACAGAAACUGGUCAGGAUAAAAAGUCAGUGUUGACGCACAUUAAAAAACUUGAGCAAGCCAUGAAAGAGACUCCUUCCAAAUCUUCAUUCUCAAUGCCAGGCAAUUAUUUCUGCCCUGCUUCCAAAGAGGAGCAGGAAGAGUCAGAAAGGAGGGGUGUAGAAUCCAGUGGCAGGCGAAGUCGGGAUCCUGAGAAUGUCUACAGCGAACCUGGAGCUCCUUCCAUCAACCCCUUGCCAAAACCACAAAGGACCUUUCAACAUCACACCCAAACAAACAACCCUACGGCCAACCACAGUUUUAUCAAGGGUAAACGGAAUCUUCCCCCUUUACCCUCAAUCCCUCCUCCCCCCCUACCCUCCUGUCCACCACCUGGAGUCUGUAGAAGGGCAACCGGAAGAGUUCGAGACUCCAUUAACAGGAAGUCUUACGAGUUUGAAGAUCUUCUACAGUCUGCAGCAGAAGGAUGUCGAACAGAUUUGUACGAGCUUUCUAAGCUUGGCCUCACACGCACUUUAUCAGAGGAGAAUGUCUACGAGGAUAUCUUAGGUAACACGAUGCACUGCACCACUACAUGCUAUUAUAGUUUACAACGUUAUGUAAAAAUGCUCAUUUUAUUUUCAAGACAGAAUUCAGAGCGACGCAGUUUUAACUUACUGGAGCUGCGCAGGACAGGCGGAAUCGCGUCCCCAUCACGGGUCAGCCCUCCAUCAACACCCAGCAGCCCAGACGACACCCCGUGCCUGUCUGGAGACCCGUACAACCGGCGGCGCAGGAAAAUUCCAAAGAUGGUGCAGAAAAUCAACGGCAUCUUUGAGGCGCGAAGGGGUAAAAAGCGGAUGAAAAGGGUCUCGCAGUCCACAGAGUCCAGUUCAGGAAGAGUGACGGAUGAAAACAGCGAGUCUGAAAGCGACACAGAGGAGAAACUGAAGGCUCACAGUCAGAGGUUAGUGUCGGUCCAGUCUAUGCUGAAGCAGACGGGUCGAUAUCGCACUUUGGAGAGGGAUUUAAUGGACCUUCAAGAGAGGAAGCUGUUUGAAUAUUUCCUGGUUGUGGCUCUUCAUAAGACCAAAGCCGGCGUGCCGUAUUUACCUGAAGUUACACAGCAGUUUCCUCUUAAGCUGGAGCGAAGCUUUAAGUUCAUGCGAGAAGCUGAAGACCAGCUGAAAGUGAUCCCGCAGUUCUGUUUCCCUGAUGCUAAAGACUGGGCACCUGUGGACAAUUUCCCCAGUGAGACAUUCUCAUUCGUCUUAACCGGAGAAGAUGGCAGUCGGAGAUUUGGGUAUUGUCGACGUUUAUUGCCCAGUGGUAAAGGAAGGCGUUUACCUGAGGUUUACUGCAUUGUCAGCAGACUGGGCUGUUUUGAUCUGUUCUCCAAGAUCCUGGAUGAAGUGGAGAAGAGACGGGCCAUUUCUCCAGCGCUGGUCCAGCCGUUUAUGAGAGGAAUCAUGGAGGCUCCGUUUCCAGCGCCGGGACGAACCAUCAGCAUCAAGAACUUCCUCCCGGGUUCAGGAACAGAGGUGAUAGAUUUGUGCCGGCCCUCAGAUUCCCGUCUGGAACAUGUGGAUUUCGAGUGUUUGUUUUCCUCUCUGAGCUUGCGUCUGCUUCUGCGGGUCUUUGCUUCUCUUCUGCUUGAGCGACGGGUCAUCUUUACCGCAGAUAAGCUCAGCACUCUCUCCCAGUGUUGUCAUGCUGUGGUGGCUCUGCUGUACCCAUUCACCUGGCAGCACACCUACAUCCCAGUUCUGCCUCCAGCAAUGAUGGACAUCGUCUGCACACCGACACCUUUCAUCGUGGGGCUUCUGUCCAGCUCACUGACCCGCCUGAAAGAGCUCCCGCUGGAGGAGGUCCUGGUGGUCGACCUCGGCAGCAGCCGUUUCCUGCGACAGAUGGAUGAUGAAGACUCGAUUCUGCCUCAUAAACUGCAGGCGGCGCUCGAACACGUGCUGGAACGGAGGAAAGAGUUCGCCUCUGACCUGGCAGAUAAUCCUAGCGGUGAGGAUCUUUCUUUGAAUGCACCAGUCAAGCCCGGUUGUCUGAGUUCUGUGGUGUCGGAGGCGUUCGUGCGUUUCUUCGUGGAGAUCGUGGGUCAUUACUCCCUCUUCAUGGGUGAAUCCUCACGCGAGGCGUUCCGUAAAGCCGUCUCCUCUAAAAGCCUGCGCAGGUUCCUGGAGGUCUUCAUGGAGACGCAGAUGUUCGCCGGGUUCCUGCAGGAGAGAGAGCUGCGGAGGCAGGGCCUGAAAGGUCUGUUUGAGAUGAGGGCUCAGGACUAUCUAGAUUCUCUGCCCGGCGGCGAGAAUAGAGGCGUCAACAAGUUCCUCAAAGGUUUAGGACACAAGAUGAAGUUUCUGUCCAAAAAGUGA